Molecule: long non-coding RNA, 398 nt
Filed under: Androctonus crassicauda
Lineage: Eukaryota; Metazoa; Arthropoda; Arachnida; Scorpiones; Buthidae
Source: RNAcentral
GUUUUGUGGUGGUUUCUGGCUGUAGGCCGGUCAAAGUGUUUACAACAUUUUGUUAUGUUUGUAAUAUACGUAAUGUGUUCCUUGUUUGUGGGACACGUGACGAGGGUGUGUUUUGCUGAUGCGAGAUGUAGAGGGGAGCGCCUCCACAUGUGCGCUGACCUUUGGGUCUUGGUCCUGUUUGUUUGUGUUGUAUCGGUUGGUUUCCAGCUCUUGUGUAGCUGAGAAAGACGCGGAAUGCGUUGCUGAAUGGAAUCUUUUGACUGCUGGAGGGCUUCUGAGUGUAUUAAUUUUAAUCUGUUUAUGCAUUUUAACAUAUGUACACAUACAUAUGCUUGAGGAAUUAGGCACUACAUUUAUUUUCCAACCAUUCAAUGAUGAUGAGAUUCAGUCAACCAGGG